UACGUAGGGGGCAGGCGUUGUCCGGAUUUAUUGGGUGUAAAGAGCGUGUAGGCGGUUUGGUAGGUCCGCUGUGAAAACUCGAGGCUCAACCUCGAGACGCCGGUGGAAACCAUCAGACUAGAGUCCGGAAGAGGAGAGUGGAAUUCCUGGUGUAGCGGUGAAAUGCGCAGAUAUCAGGAGGAACACCGGUGGCGAAGGCGGGUCUCUGGGCCGUUACUGACGCUGAGGAGCGAAAGCGUGGGGAGCGAACAGG
Molecule: ribosomal RNA, 253 nt
Filed under: uncultured bacterium
Lineage: Bacteria
Description: partial 16S ribosomal RNA
Rfam family: Bacterial small subunit ribosomal RNA
Source: RNAcentral